CAAUACAUCACCGGCGGACGGGUGCGUAACACGUGGGAAUAUACCUUUGGUUCGGAACAACGCAGGGAAACUUGCGCUAAUACCGAAUGUGCCCUUACGGGGAAAGAUUUAUCGCCAAAGGAUUAGCCCGCGUAGGAUUAGCUAGUUGGUGAGGUAAUGGCUCACCAAGGCUCCGAUCCUUAGCUGUUCUGAGAGGAAGAUCAGCCACACUGGGACUGAGACACGGCCCAG
This 231-nucleotide ribosomal RNA is filed under the name uncultured bacterium. RNAcentral's name for it is "partial 16S ribosomal RNA". It matches the Rfam family "Bacterial small subunit ribosomal RNA", at positions 85 to 334 of the family's 1533-position model. The record is from RNAcentral.